Molecule: long non-coding RNA, 385 nt
Organism: Daktulosphaira vitifoliae (grape phylloxera)
Lineage: Eukaryota; Metazoa; Arthropoda; Insecta; Hemiptera; Phylloxeridae
Exons: 2
Source: RefSeq, a predicted model, not a curated record
CACGGUUGUCGCUAGGCGACUCUAAAGAGCUGUCACGACGCGCGACUUUACCACAUCGAUAGAAGUAUUUCAUGAUAGACGCAAUAACAUAAAGUUUUAUUAGAUCAGACCAAGUACAAUCCAAACCAAUCGUCACAAAAAAUUAUAUUGAUACAAUUUUCAAACGGACCAAAGUCACAUCUGUGACCACAGAUUUAGUGAUCAUGAUGAGCAAAAACAUCUAAAAUUGAUAAAAGAUGUUCCACUUAAUGCUUUGAACAAAAUCUAAACGAUCAAAUGGACGUAGUAGCUCAGAAAAAUUAAUAAAAAACGCUAUAAAAUAAAUUGGAAUAUUCUUAAAAUAAAAUUCUGUAGUAUAAUCUAAUUAUAAUACUUUUGAAUUGAA